AGUGAACGCUGGCGGUAGGCCUAACACAUGCAAGUCGAACGGCAGCACAGUAAGAGCUUGCUCUUACGGGUGGCGAGUGGCGGACGGGUGAGGAAUACAUCGGAAUCUACUUUUUCGUGGGGGAUAACGUAGGGAAACUUACGCUAAUACCGCAUACGACCUACGGGUGAAAGCAGGGGAUCUUCGGACCUUGCGCGAUUGAAUGAGCCGAUGUCGGAUUAGCUAGUUGGCGGGGUAAAGGCCCACCAAGGCGACGAUCCGUAGCUGGUCUGAGAGGAUGAUCAGCCACACUGGAACUGAGACACGGUCCAGACUCCUACGGGAGGCAGCAGAGGGGAAUAUUGGACAAUGGGCGCAAGCCUGAUCCAGCCAUACCGCGUGGGUGAAGAAGGCCUUCGGGUUGUAAAGCCCUUUUGUUGGGAAAGAAAAGCAGCAGGUUAAUACGCCGCUGUUCUGACGGUACCCAAAGAAUAAGCACCGGCUAACUUCGUG
RNAcentral lists this ribosomal RNA (492 nucleotides) under uncultured bacterium. RNAcentral's name for it is "partial 16S ribosomal RNA". It matches the Rfam family "Bacterial small subunit ribosomal RNA", at positions 29 to 507 of the family's 1533-position model. The record is from RNAcentral.